GAUAAACGCUGGCGGCAUGCCUAAUACAUGCAGGUCGAACGAGAUUCUAAUGAAGAUGUAUCGGAUUUAGAUGAAAGUGGCGGACGGGUGAGUAAAGCGUGAACAAUCUACCGCAUACUGGGGAAUAGCACCGAGAAAUUGGGAAUAAAACCGCAUAAGACCACAGCAUCGCAUGAUGCAGAGGUAAAAACUCCGGCGGUAUGAGAAGAGUUCGCGUAUGAUUAGCUAGUUGGUGAGGUAACGGUCCACCAAGGCGACGAUCAGUAGCCGGCCUGAGAGGGUGUACGGCCACAUUGGAACUGAGAGACGGUCCAAACUCCUACGGGAGGCAGCAGUAGGGAAUAUUGCACAAUGGGGGAAACCCUGAUGCAGCAAUGCCGCGUGAAGGAUGAAGGUUUUCGGAUCGUAAACUUCUAUCGAUGGGGAAGAAAGAAAUGACGGUACCCAAGUAAGAAGCCCCGGCUAACUAUGUGCCAGCCGCCGCUGUAA
RNAcentral lists this ribosomal RNA (489 nucleotides) under uncultured bacterium. Its description in RNAcentral is "partial 16S ribosomal RNA". It matches the Rfam family "Bacterial small subunit ribosomal RNA", at positions 28 to 523 of the family's 1533-position model. The record is from RNAcentral.